AUGCUUAACUUUUGCCGGUUGCACGUGGCGGGCGUCUCCUCCGUUUUGUGGCUGGCUUUUCACUUUCUCCAAGGUGCCUCCACUUCUCUCUUCCCUCUCACAUCUGUGCCAGGGGCGCCCAUGGGCGUCGCUCGUGCGCGCGGGGGGGGGGGGGGGCUCGGGUCCCUCGGCCCCGGGUGCAGACCGCCCCGCCGCCCCUCCUGCGCCCGGGGCUCCUGGGGCCCCCGCUCCUCCGCUCCUCUCCCCUCGCCGCCUCCCUCCCAGCUCCGGCAGGGGCGGCCCGCUUCGGGGAGCCCCGCGAGGCCCGGGGCGGCGGCCCGGAGGCGGGAGGCGGCCUCGGCGCGGGAGCCCCCGCCCCCCCGAGUCAUCGAUCACUUCCGGCGCCUCACCUGGGGGCCCGGCCCCUCUCCGCUCGGCCGGCCGCGCGGCGCUCCCCGGGGGCGGGGCGGGGCUCCGCAGGCGGGGGCCGGGGGCCGGGGGCCGGGGGGCUGGGCGGGGGCGGAAGCUGCGCGAGCAGAUAAGCGCCGAGGUCGGCGCUGCGGUGAGACAGUGCGGGACGCCGCCCCCCGCCCCCGGCCCCGGCCCCGGCCCCGGCCCCGCAGCCCCGGUUCCCCGCGCCCCCCAGCCCGGGCUCGGCAUCCUGGGCGGGGACCCCGGGGCGCGGGGGCGGCGGGCCGUGGGGCGGGGGGCUCGGCCCGCGCCUUCAGCUCCCAGCCUCAUUUAUCUCAGCUGGAAAGUGGGGGCAGGAGGAGAUCCACUUACUCCGCGGGGCUUGGAGACGGACCGGGCGCCAGUGCCGAAAGCCCCCUGCGGCCGAGGCCUCCGUCAAGGAGGAGUACCCCGGGGCCUUCUCCCCGCCCCCGCUGCCCCCCCCCCCCCCCCCCGCUGGGCCCGCCCGCCGCUGGGCGUCCGCCUCCUGCCUCCACGGGGAAGCGGGUCUCGCCUCAGGUCCCAGGACCAGGGAGCGCGCUGCAAGUGGAGCCGAGGAUGGACGGCGACCCCUGCCCCCAGCCUGGGGCCGGAGCUAGGUUUCCUAGAGCCUGA
Molecule: long non-coding RNA, 1044 nt
Filed under: Canis lupus familiaris (dog)
Lineage: Eukaryota; Metazoa; Chordata; Mammalia; Carnivora; Canidae
Description: lncRNA (ENSCAFG00845021588.1)
Source: RNAcentral